Molecule: ribosomal RNA, 474 nt
Filed under: uncultured bacterium
Lineage: Bacteria
Description: partial 16S ribosomal RNA
Rfam family: Bacterial small subunit ribosomal RNA
Source: RNAcentral
AACGAACGCUGGCGGCAUGCCUAACACAUGCAAGUCGAACGAGACCUUCGGGUCUAGUGGCGCACGGGUGCGUAACGCGUGGGAACCUGCCCUUAGGUUCGGAAUAACUCCCCGAAAGGGGUGCUAAUACCGGAUAAUGUCUUCGGACCAAAGAUUUAUCGCCUUUGGAUGGGCCCGCGUUGGAUUAGCUAGUUGGUAGGGUAAAAGCCUACCAAGGCGACGAUCCAUAGCUGGUCUGAGAGGAUGAUCAGCCACACUGGGACUGAGACACGGCCCAGACGCGGAGGGGAGCACGGGGGGGAGGAAGGGGACCGGGGGACACAAGUGUGACAAGGCGAGGGGGUGGGAGGGAGGGAGGCAUGAGGGUGGUAAAGCUCUGUAGCGCGGGAAGAUAUGAACAGUAGGGGGAGAAGAAGCGCCGGCUACCUCCGUGCGAGAAGCCGGGGUAAUACUAGGACGAGAACGCGCCUGAAC